This 468-nucleotide ribosomal RNA is filed under the name uncultured bacterium. RNAcentral's name for it is "partial 16S ribosomal RNA". It matches the Rfam family "Bacterial small subunit ribosomal RNA", at positions 28 to 507 of the family's 1533-position model. The record is from RNAcentral.
GACGAACGCUGGCGGCGUGCUUAACACAUGCAAGUCGAACGGAAAGGCCCUGCUAUUGUGGGGUGCUCGAGUGGCGAACGGGUGAGUAACACGUGAGUAACCUGCCCUUGACUUUGGGAUAACUUCAGGUAACUGGGGCUCAUACUGGAUAGGAGCUCCUGCUGCAUGGUGGGGGCUGGAAAGUUGCGGCGGUUGGGGCUGGUCUCGCGGGUUAUCAGCUUGUUGGUGGGGUAGUGGCUUACCAAGGCUCUGACGGGUAGCCGGCCUGAGAGGGGGACCGGGGCCAUGAGUACUGAGGUACGGCGCAGUGGCGUACGGUAGGCAACAGGGGGAAGCAUUGCACAGUGAGCGCGAGCGUGAGACGACGACGCCGCGGGCGUGAUGACGUCCUGCGGGUUGUGAAAAGCUUUCGGCUGAGACGAAGCGUUAGUGACGGUAAUGGGUAAAGAAGCACCGGCUAACUACGUG